UCUUAUGGUAACAGAAUGUCCUGGUUC
RNAcentral lists this non-coding RNA (27 nucleotides) under Mus musculus (house mouse). Lineage: Eukaryota; Metazoa; Chordata; Mammalia; Rodentia; Muridae. The record is from RNAcentral.